Molecule: ribosomal RNA, 406 nt
Filed under: uncultured bacterium
Lineage: Bacteria
Description: partial 16S ribosomal RNA
Rfam family: Bacterial small subunit ribosomal RNA
Source: RNAcentral
AUUGAACGCUGGCGGCAGGCCUAACACAUGCAAGUCGAGCGAGCGGCGGACGGGUGAGUAAUGUCUGGGAAACUGCCUGAUGGAGGGGGAUAACUACUGGAAACGGUAGCUAAUACCGCAUACCAUCAGAUGUGCCCAGAUGGGAGUAGCUAGUAGGUGGGGUAACGGCUCACCUAGGCGACGAUCCCUAGCUUGUCUUAGAGGAUGAUCAGCCACACUGGAACUGAGACACGGUCCAGACUCCUACGGGGGGCAGCGGUGGGGAAUAUUGCACAAUGGGCGCAAGCCUGAUGCAGCCAUGCCGCGUGUGUGAAGAAGGCCUUCGGGUUGUAAAGCACUGUCAGCGGGGAGGUGUUACCCGCAGAAGAAGCCCCGGCUAACUCCGUGCCAGCAGCCGCGGUAAUAC